This 571-nucleotide long non-coding RNA is filed under the name Fukomys damarensis (Damara mole-rat). RNAcentral describes it as "lncRNA (ENSFDAG00000028936.1)". The record is from RNAcentral. Lineage: Eukaryota; Metazoa; Chordata; Mammalia; Rodentia; Bathyergidae.
UGGAACUUUUGUGAACAGGCAUCACAAUCUAGCAUCAGCCGUCUCCUGAGCUCACUUGGCUGGAGAUAGUCAACAGCAAACACACUGAGUUGCUUCUCUACUUCCAAGGUCACAGCCUCAGGACCCCAGGCAGAGAAAGUAUCUGUGAAAGAUUGAGAAGAUGGCUGACUCCAUCCAGACACCGCAAACCACAAUGCGGCAGCCACGCGACUAUCACAGACACCCCAGAGAAGGUCUCCCCUGAAGUGGAAACUACUGCCUUUCUCUUGCUUUUACAUCUCCAAUUGCUACAAAAAUAAUCUGCCUAAAGAUGCAUCAAACAGCUCUGAAUUCAAGGUUUGGUAAAUCUUCAAAGCUAUCAUAUUUUCAAAUGCUCACCUGGCUUAAGCAUCUGCUUAUCUUGAAUUUCUCCUUAUCUGGCUCAGCAGCCCCUGAAUAUCCUGCCAAGGAGAUGAAAAAAUGUUUCAAAAAUGUGGAAAUGCUGAGAGUGGGAAAUCUUCUUCAUAUCUAAGUAUGUAAGUAUGUAAUGAGUUUGCAGAGCUAUCUCACAAGUAUUGGAAGGCUUUGUACU